Molecule: Y RNA, 115 nt
Filed under: Chinchilla lanigera (long-tailed chinchilla)
Lineage: Eukaryota; Metazoa; Chordata; Mammalia; Rodentia; Chinchillidae
Description: Y RNA (ENSCLAG00000020077.1)
Rfam family: Y RNA
About the family: Y RNAs are components of the Ro ribonucleoprotein particle (Ro RNP), in association with Ro60 and La proteins.
Source: Rfam by way of RNAcentral
GAGUGGUGCAAGAAGGUAGUGAGUUAUCUCAGAUGAUUGUUCACAGUCACUUACAGGUUGAACUCCUUGUUCUGCUCUUUCCCCUCUUCUCACUACUGCACUUGACUAGGCUUAC